UACGAAGGGAGCUAGCGUUGUUCGGAAUUACUGGGCGUAAAGCGCACGUAGGCGGACUUGUCAGUCAGGGGUGAAAUCCCAAGGCUCAACCUUGGAACUGCCUCCGAUACAGCAAGUCUGGAGAUCGGGAGAGGUGAGUGGAAUUCCUAGUGUAGAGGUGAAAUUCGUAGAUAUUAGGAAGAACACCAGUGGCGAAGGCGGCUCACUGGCCCGAUACUGACGCUGAGGUGCGAAAGCGUGGGGAGCAAACAGG
RNAcentral lists this ribosomal RNA (253 nucleotides) under uncultured bacterium. RNAcentral describes it as "partial 16S ribosomal RNA". It matches the Rfam family "Bacterial small subunit ribosomal RNA", at positions 524 to 776 of the family's 1533-position model. The record is from RNAcentral.